RNAcentral lists this ribosomal RNA (478 nucleotides) under uncultured bacterium. Its description in RNAcentral is "bacterial SSU rRNA". It matches the Rfam family "Bacterial small subunit ribosomal RNA", at positions 21 to 507 of the family's 1533-position model. The record is from RNAcentral.
GGCUCAGGAUGAACGCUGGCGGCGUGCCUAACACAUGCAAGUCGAACGAAGCACCUUGAUUUCCUCGGAUUGAUUGGUGACUGAGUGGCGGACGGGUGAGUAACGCGUGGGUAACCUGCCUCAUACAGGGGGAUAACAGUUAGAAAUGACUGCUAAUACCGCAUAAGCGCACAGUAUCGCAUGAUGCAGUGUGAAAAACUCCGGUGGUAUGAGAUGGACCCGCGUCUGAUUAGCUAGUUGGUAAGGUAACGGCUUACCAAGGCGACGAUCAGUAGCCGGCCUGAGAGGGUGAUCGGCCACAUUGGGACUGAGACACGGCCCAAACUCCUACGGGAGGCAGCAGUGGGGAAUAUUGCACAAUGGGGGAAACCCUGAUGCAGCAACGCCGCGUGAAGGAUGACGUAUUUCGGUAUGUAAACUUCUAUCAGCAAGGAAGAUGAUGACGGUACUUGACUAAGAAGCCCCGGCUAACUACGUG